This is a non-coding RNA of Myotis davidii, 75 nucleotides long. Lineage: Eukaryota; Metazoa; Chordata; Mammalia; Chiroptera; Vespertilionidae. The record is from Rfam.
GGUGGUUCUCAGGUGCCGCGCCCUGGAAUCAGGCUUCCUCCUCUCUGGUUCUGGGUGCGUCACCCAAGAACCACC